CGUUGAAACUUUUGGAAAGUGCCGAGCUUGUUCUAUUUCAUGAAGGGGAGGACAAUGUUUUCAUUGUCCUAUUGAGGUCCACCCUUCCUCACCUGAAUGAGUGUAAACAGUGGUUUUGUUCGUGGAUGGUAGGUUUGGGCAUUGGGGAGGGGGUUUCUUUGGUUAAACCUGCAUUGUAGCCAUGGCUCUUGGUCUCUUUGUGAGUCGCUUGCCCCGUUUUGAGCUAUGUUGCUUGUU
RNAcentral lists this unclassified non-coding RNA (237 nucleotides) under Hevea brasiliensis (rubber tree). Lineage: Eukaryota; Viridiplantae; Streptophyta; Magnoliopsida; Malpighiales; Euphorbiaceae. The record is from RNAcentral.